Molecule: transfer RNA, 73 nt
Filed under: Rhinatrema nigrum (black caecilian)
Lineage: Eukaryota; Metazoa; Chordata; Amphibia; Gymnophiona; Rhinatrematidae
Description: tRNA-Lys
Source: RNAcentral
CACUAAGAAGCUGUCAAGGAGUAGCAUUAGCCUUUUAAGCUAACCAUUGGUGCCUACCGCCCACCCCUAGUGA